This 705-nucleotide ribosomal RNA is filed under the name uncultured Bacilli bacterium. RNAcentral's name for it is "bacterial SSU rRNA". It matches the Rfam family "Bacterial small subunit ribosomal RNA", at positions 64 to 750 of the family's 1533-position model. The record is from RNAcentral. Lineage: Bacteria; Bacillati; Bacillota; Bacilli.
GAGCGGACCGACGGGAGCUUGCUCCCUUAGGUCAGCGGCGGACGGGUGAGUAACACGUGGGUAACCUGCCUGUAAGACUGGGAUAACUCCGGGAAACCGGGGCUAAUACCGGAUGCUUGAUUGAACCGCAUGGUUCAAUCAUAAAAGGUGGCUUUCAGCUACCACUUACAGAUGGACCCGCGGCGCAUUAGCUAGUUGGUGAGGUAACGGCUCGCCAAGGCGACGAUGCGUAGCCGACCUGAGAGGGUGAUCGGCCACACUGGGACUGAGACACGGCCCAGACUCCUACGGGAGGCAGCAGUAGGGAAUCUUCCGCAAUGGACGAAAGUCUGACGGAGCAACGCCGCGUGAGUGAUGAAGGUUUUCGGAUCGUAAAACUCUGUUGUUAGGGAAGAACAAGUACCGUUCGAAUAGGGCGGCACCUUGACGGUACCUAACCAGAAAGCCACGGCUAACUACGUGCCAGCAGCCGCGGUAAUACGUAGGUGGCAAGCGUUGUCCGGAAUUAUUGGGCGUAAAGCGCGCGCAGGCGGUUUCUUAAGUCUGAUGUGAAAGCCCCCGGCUCAACCGGGGAGGGUCAUUGGAAACUGGGGAACUUGAGUGCAGAAGAGGAGAGUGGAAUUCCACGUGUAGCGGUGAAAUGCGUAGAGAUGUGGAGGAACACCAGUGGCGAAGGCGACUCUCUGGUCUGUAACUGACGCUGAG